GGGCCAGUAGCUCAGUCGGUUAGAGCAAUUGCCUCUUAAGCAAUGUGUCGUGGGUUCGAGUCCCACCUGGCUCA
Molecule: transfer RNA, 74 nt
Filed under: Candidatus Woesebacteria bacterium
Lineage: Bacteria; Candidatus Woeseibacteriota
Description: tRNA-Lys
Rfam family: tRNA
About the family: Transfer RNA (tRNA) molecules are approximately 80 nucleotides in length. Their secondary structure includes four short double-helical elements and three loops (D, anti-codon, and T loops). Further hydrogen bonds mediate the characteristic L-shaped molecular structure. tRNAs have two regions of fundamental functional importance: the anti-codon, which is responsible for specific mRNA codon recognition, and the 3' end, to which the tRNAs corresponding amino acid is attached (by aminoacyl-tRNA synthetases). tRNAs cope with the degeneracy of the genetic code in two manners: having more than one tRNA (with a specific anti-codon) for a particular amino acid; and 'wobble' base-pairing, i.e. permitting non-standard base-pairing at the 3rd anti-codon position.
Source: RNAcentral